AUUGAACGCUGGCGGCAGGCCUAACACAUGCAAGUCGAACGAGUUGCGGACGGGUGAGUAAUUUCUGGGAAACUGCCUGAUGGAGGGGGAUAACUACUGGAAACGGUAGCUAAUACCUCAUACCCUCCUCUUUGCCCAGAUUGGAUUAGCUAGUUGGUGGGUUAACGGCUCACCAAGGCGACGAUCCCUAGCUGUUCUGAGAGGAUGACAAGCCAAACUGGAACGGAGACACGGUCCAGAACCCUACGUGAGGCAGCAGUGGGGAAUAUUGAACAAUGGGCGCAAGCCUGAUGCAGCCAUGCCGCGUGUAUGAAGAAGGCCUUCGGGUUGUAAAGUACUUUCAGCGGGGAGGCGUUACCCGCAGAAGAAGCACCGGCUAACUCCGUGCCAGCAGCCGCGGUAAUAC
This 406-nucleotide ribosomal RNA is filed under the name uncultured bacterium. RNAcentral's name for it is "partial 16S ribosomal RNA". It matches the Rfam family "Bacterial small subunit ribosomal RNA", at positions 30 to 526 of the family's 1533-position model. The record is from RNAcentral.